RNAcentral lists this ribosomal RNA (503 nucleotides) under uncultured bacterium. Its description in RNAcentral is "partial 16S ribosomal RNA". It matches the Rfam family "Bacterial small subunit ribosomal RNA", at positions 28 to 523 of the family's 1533-position model. The record is from RNAcentral.
GAUGAACGCUGGCGGCAGGCCUAACACAUGCAAGUCGAGGGGUAGCAGGAUUAAGCUUGCUUAAUUGCUGACGACCGGCGCACGGGUGCGUAACGCGUAUGCAACCUACCUUAUACUGGGGUAUAGCCCGGAGAAAUUCGGAUUAAUCCCCCAUAGUACUAAUGAAUCGCAUGGUUUAUUAGUUAAAGCAUUGCGGUAUAAGAUGGGCAUGCGUCCUAUUAGCUAGAUGGUGAGGUAACGGCUCACCAUGGCUACGAUAGGUAGGGGGCCUGAGAGGGUGGUCCCCCACACUGGUACUGAGACACGGACCAGACUCCUACGGGAGGCAGCAGUGAGGAAUAUUGGUCAAUGGGCGCAAGCCUGAACCAGCCAUGCCGCGUGCAGGAAGAAUGCCCUAUGGGUUGUAAACUGCUUUUAUUUGGGAAUAAACCUCUUUACGUGUAGAGAGCUGAAGGUACCAAAUGGAUAAGCACCGGCUAACUCCGUGCCAGCCGCCGCUGUAA